This 449-nucleotide ribosomal RNA is filed under the name uncultured bacterium. RNAcentral describes it as "partial 16S ribosomal RNA". It matches the Rfam family "Bacterial small subunit ribosomal RNA", at positions 29 to 523 of the family's 1533-position model. The record is from RNAcentral.
AGCGAACGCUGGCGGCAGGCCUAACACAUGCAAGUCGAACGAAGUCUUCGGACUUAGUGGCGGACGGGUGAGUAACACGUGGGAACGUGCCUUUAGGUUCGGAAUAACUCAGGGAAACUUGUGCUAAUACCGAAUGUGCCCUUCGGGGGAAAGAUUUAUCGCCUUUAGAGCGGCCCGCGUCUGAUUAGCUGGUUGGUGAGGUAAUGGCUCACCAAGGCUACGAUCAGUAGCUGGUCUGAGAGGAUGACCAGCCACAUUGGGACUGAGACACGGCCCAAACUCCUACGGGAGGCAGCAGUGGGGAAUCUUGCGCAAUGGGCGAAAGCCUGACGCAGCCAUGCCGCGUGGAUGAUGAAGGUCUUAGGAUUGUAAAAUCCUUUCACCGGUGAAGAUAAUGACUGUAGCCGGAGAAGAAGCCCCGGCUAACUUUGUGCCAGCCGCCGCUGUAA